CAGAUCUGGGCCGUGACUACGACCUACACCACAGCUCAUGGCAAGGCCAGAUCCUUAACCCACUGAGUGAGGCCAGGGAUGGAACCUGCAUCCUCAUGGAUGCUAGUUUGGUUCAUUAACCACUGAGCCACGACGGGAAUGCCCAAAAAACAAAUUAAAAAUAAAAGAUAAAAGGGUUUUCUCUAGACUGACAGAGCUGUCUCCCAGAACUCACUUGCUGACCAGUGGUCAAAGGGGAAAUCAUUUGUUAGCCCCUCCCUGAGGGGGAAGUGCUGAGUAAAGGGCUCAGAGGGCGUCUUCUCUCCCCUGUGUCUGCCUGCUAGAUGUUCCUCUGCAGCUGAACAGCUGGCAGGCAGCCCGAGAUGGGGCCCUGCUCAGGAAACCCCCACCUCCGCUGGGCCUCCCGGCUCCUGGGACUCCUCAGCCUCCUCUUCACCUUAACCCCCCUCUCCCACCAAGGCCAUCUCUUCAGGGCUACUGUGACUCUCGUGAUGGAAGGACCGGUUUUAUAUAACCCAGGACCACCCAGUGACAUCCCCUCACCUUUGCUGGGUCCUAUUCCUUGUAAGCCAGUCACUAGGUGCAGCCCAGCUUCCAGGGGAGGGGGUUCCACGGGGGUGCAACCAGCAGGAGGGAGGGACUUAGGGAGACAUUUUGGAAGCUGCCUCUUACAGUUACGCACUUGCUGUCUGUCCCUGAAAAUGUGCUCAGUGAUUUUUUUUUUUUUUUUUUUUUUUUUUUUUUUU
RNAcentral lists this long non-coding RNA (746 nucleotides) under Sus scrofa (pig). Its description in RNAcentral is "lncRNA (ENSSSCG00065017025.1)". The record is from RNAcentral. Lineage: Eukaryota; Metazoa; Chordata; Mammalia; Artiodactyla; Suidae.